Molecule: ribosomal RNA, 494 nt
Filed under: uncultured bacterium
Lineage: Bacteria
Description: partial 16S ribosomal RNA
Rfam family: Bacterial small subunit ribosomal RNA
Source: RNAcentral
GACGAACGCUGGCGGCGUGCUUAACACAUGCAAGUCGAACGGAAAGGCCUGCUUUCCCUUGUGGAUUGCGGGUACUCGAGUGGCGAACGGGUGAGUAACACGUGAGUGAUCUGCCCCCAACUUGGGUAUAAGCCUGGGAAACUGGGUCUAAUUCCCGAUAGGACUGCAGGGUGGUGCCUGUGGUGGAAAACGAUUUUCUAGUGGUUGGGGAUGAGCUCGCGGCCUAUCAGCUUGUUGGUGGGGUAAUGGCCUACCAAGGCGGCGACGGGUAGCCGGCCUGGGAGGGUGGACGGGCACGUUGGGACUGAGAUACGGCCCAGACGCCUACGGGAGGCAGCAGUGGGGAAGAUGGCACAAGGGGCGGAAGCCUGAUGCAGCGACGCCGCGUGGGGGAUGACGGCCUUCGGGUUGUAAACUCCUUUCGACCGCGAGGAAGCCACCUGGUUGGAAGGGUGGUGACGGUAGUGGUAGAAGAAGCACCGGCUAACUACGUG